GACGAACGCUGGCGGCGUGCUUAACACAUGCAAGUCGAACGGAAAGGCCCUGCUUUUGUGGGGUUCUCGAGUGGCGAACGGGUGAGUAACACGUGAGUAACCUGCCCUUGACUUUGGGAUAACUUCAGGAAACUGGGGCUAAUACCGGAUAGGAGCUCCUGCUGCAUGUUGGGGGUUGGAAAGUUUCGGCGGUUGGGGAUGGACUCGCGGCUUAUCAGCUUGUUGGUGGGGUAGUGGCUUACCAAGGCUUUGACGGGUAGCCGGCCUGAGAGGGUGACCGGGCACAUUGGGACUGAGAUACGGCGCAGACUCCUACGGGAGGCAGCAGUGGGGAAUAUUGCACAAUGGGCGGAAGCCUGAUGCAGCAACGCCGCGUGCGGGAUGACGGCCUUCGGGUUGUAAACCGCUUUCGCCUGUGACGAAGCGUGAGUGACGGUAACGGGUAAAGAAGCAACGGCUAACUACGUG
This 468-nucleotide ribosomal RNA is filed under the name uncultured bacterium. RNAcentral describes it as "partial 16S ribosomal RNA". It matches the Rfam family "Bacterial small subunit ribosomal RNA", at positions 28 to 507 of the family's 1533-position model. The record is from RNAcentral.